This 418-nucleotide ribosomal RNA is filed under the name Synalpheus thele. RNAcentral describes it as "SSU rRNA". It matches the Rfam family "Eukaryotic small subunit ribosomal RNA", at positions 1031 to 1456 of the family's 1831-position model. Lineage: Eukaryota; Metazoa; Arthropoda; Malacostraca; Decapoda; Alpheidae. The record is from RNAcentral.
CUAAACGAUGCUAACUAGCUAUUCGCCGGCGUUAUUCCCAUGACGUGGCGAGACGCCCCCGGGAAACCUCAAGUCUUUGAGUUCCGGGGGUAGUAUGGUUGCAAAACUGAAACUUAAAGGAAUUGACGGAAGGGCACCACCAGGAGUGGAGCCUGCGGCUUAAUUUGACUCAACACGGGAAACCUCACCAGGCCCGGACACCUGAAGGAUUGACAGAUUAAGAGCUCUUUCUCGAUUUGGUGGGUGGUGGUGCAUGGCCGUUCUUAGUUGGUGGAGUGAUUUGUCUGGUUAAUUCCGGUAACGAACGAGACUCUGGCCUACUAACUAGUGGAUGGGUGUUCUGACAGUGGGGCCCCAUCCGAUAAUGUCUUCUUAGAGGGAUGAGCAGCGAGUAUAGCUGCAGGAGAUUGAGCAAUAA